UACGUAGGAUGCAAGCGUUAAUCGGAAUUACUGGGCGUAAAGCGUGCGCAGGCGGUAAUGUAAGACAGAUGUGAAAUCCCCGGGCUCAACCUGGGAACUGCAUUUGUGACUGCAUUGCUGGAGUGCGGCAGAGGGGGAUGGAAUUCCGCGUGUAGCAGUGAAAUGCGUAGAUAUGCGGAGGAACACCGAUGGCGAAGGCAAUCCCCUGGGCCUGCACUGACGCUCAUGCACGAAAGCGUGGGGAGCAAACAGG
This 253-nucleotide ribosomal RNA is filed under the name uncultured bacterium. Its description in RNAcentral is "partial 16S ribosomal RNA". It matches the Rfam family "Bacterial small subunit ribosomal RNA", at positions 524 to 776 of the family's 1533-position model. The record is from RNAcentral.